GAACGAACGCUGGCGGCGUGCCUAACACAUGCAAGUCGAACGUGAUUAGAGAGCUUGCUCUCUAUGAAAGUGGCGCACGGGUGAGUAACGCGUAGAUAAUCUACCUUAUGAUCCGGGAUAACACUUCGAAAGGGGUGCUAAUACCUGAUAAGCCCACGGAGUCCUUGGAUUCUGCGGGAAAAGGGGGGGACCUUUAUCGGCCUUCCGUCAUCAGAUGAGUCUGCGUACCAUUAGCUAGUUGGUAGGGUAAAGGCCUACCAAGGCUACGAUGGUUAGCUGGUCUGAGAGGAUGAUCAGCCACUCUGGAACUGAGACACGGUCCAGACUCCUACGGGAGGCAGCAGUGGGGAAUUUUGCGCAAUGGGGGAAACCCUGACGCAGCAACGCCGCGUGAGUGAUGAAGGCCCUUGGGUCGUAAAGCUCUGACAGAGGGAAAGAAAUGUAGGGGGGCUAAUAUCCCCUUUACUUGACGGUACCCUCAAAGGAAGCACCGGCUAACUCCGUGCCAGCAGCCGCGGUAAUACGGGGGGUGCAAGCGUUGUUCGGAUUUAUUGGGCGUAAAGCGCGUGUAGGCGGUUUUAUAAGUCUGAUGUGAAAGCCCUGGGCUCAACCCGGGAAGUGCAUUGGAUACUGUAAGACUUGAAUACGGGAGAGGGCAGUGGAAUUCCUAGUGUAGGAGUGAAAUCCGUAGAUAUUAGGAGGAACACCGGUGGCGAAGGCGGCUGCCUGGACCGAUAUUGACGCUGAGACGCGAAAG
This 757-nucleotide ribosomal RNA is filed under the name uncultured soil bacterium. RNAcentral's name for it is "bacterial SSU rRNA". It matches the Rfam family "Bacterial small subunit ribosomal RNA", at positions 27 to 759 of the family's 1533-position model. The record is from RNAcentral.